Molecule: transfer RNA, 73 nt
Filed under: Dokdonella fugitiva
Lineage: Bacteria; Pseudomonadati; Pseudomonadota; Gammaproteobacteria; Lysobacterales; Rhodanobacteraceae
Also listed under: 2 other names
Rfam family: tRNA
About the family: Transfer RNA (tRNA) molecules are approximately 80 nucleotides in length.
Source: Rfam by way of RNAcentral
GGGGCUGUAGCUCAGCUGGGAGAGCACCUGCUUUGCAAGCAGGGGGUCAUCGGUUCGAUCCCGAUCAGCUCCA